CAGCCGCCGCGGGAAUACAGAGGGUGCAAGCGUUAAUCGGAAUUACUGGGCGUAAAGUGCGCGUAGGUGGUUUGUUAAGUUGGAUGUGAAAUCCCCGGGCUCAACCUGGGAACUGCAUCCAAAACUGGCAAGCUAGAGUAUGGUAGAGGGUGGUGGAAUUUCCUGUGUAGCGGUGAAAUGCGUAGAUAUAGGAAGGAACACCAGUGGCGAAGGCGACCACCUGGACUGAUACUGACACUGAGGUGCGAAAGCGUGGGGAGCAAACAGGAUUAGAGACCCCCGUAGUCCCUGUCUCUUAUAC
This 301-nucleotide ribosomal RNA is filed under the name uncultured bacterium. RNAcentral's name for it is "partial 16S ribosomal RNA". It matches the Rfam family "Bacterial small subunit ribosomal RNA", at positions 509 to 807 of the family's 1533-position model. The record is from RNAcentral.